Long non-coding RNA from Clupea harengus (Atlantic herring), 1512 nucleotides. NCBI's taxonomy places the organism in Eukaryota, Metazoa, Chordata, Actinopteri, Clupeiformes, Clupeidae. The record is from Ensembl.
CGCACCCCCCCCCCCCAAACAAAAAUACAGAUACCCCUAUACACCCCUAGAUACAGCCAUAAAACUCAGCUAAUCUCCCUUGUACAGCCCUACAUACAGCCACCAAACGCAGCUUAUACAGACCUAGAUACAGCUACACACUAGAUCCACAACCACCCACCUGUCAGCCUGUGAUCUAUCCUGCCGGUCAUACCCGUCCUCUGCUACACUUCUCUUACAACCCCCCCCCCCCCCCCCAGCCCUUCUCCUCUGUCCUCCUGAUCCAGGUAGAACCCUGCUGUCUCCUCAUGUCAUGUCACCAUGGAGACGUGUUCUGCGAGUGUUGUAGAGUUUAGCGGAAUCCAAUUGGCCCGGUAGAGCACUUAUGCAAUCAGUGGCUCCUGGUUGUGUAUGCUACUUUAUCAUGUAUAUAUUAUCUACUGUAUAUAUUCCUGGAGACCAGGUGACUUCGGGACAGAUUUGACCCACAUAUGGUGCCGACCUAGGCCUGAUCCAGGUCUAGAUCAGGUCUAGAUCAGGUGUAGAUCAGGUGUAGAUUAGGUCUAGAUCAGGUCUACAUCAGGUCUACAUCAGGACUAGAUCAGGUCUAGAUCAGGUCUAGAUCAGGUCUAGAUUAGGUCUAGAUUAGGUCUAGAUCAGGUCUAGAUCAGGUCUACAUCAGGACUAGAUCAGGUCUAGAUCAGGUCUAGAUCAGGACUAGAUCAGGACUAGAUCAGGUCUAGAUCAGGUCUACAUCAGGUCUAGAUCAGGUCUAGAUUAGGUCUAGAUCAGGGCCAGAUCUGUACCAGAGUCAGCUGUCUGGGUUUAGAUAUUUAAAAUAGAUGAAGAACAUUUGUGAAGUAUAACGAUCACAGGUCCAUGUUUAGGUUCCUUCUUUUUGUUUUGCAUUUUUUUGUAAGUAUAUGUAGUUGAGUGUGUUCUGGGUCUUUGUGUCGCCUCCUGCUGUGUAAUCUCUUUACUUUUAUGAUGAAGGACGACACUAACCGAGGCAGCUUUGCCACCCAACUAGCGUUGAAUGUGGGGACAUUAGGUGUCCGGAUCUGCCUGGGUUAGUUCCAGUUUUUAAGGGCACAAUUCAAAGAGAUGAAUCUGAUGAGAAACUGUGAACGCCGUGGGCAGCAUUUGGUGGAAAAAAGUGGGAUUUCCUGUCACUUUUAGAACUUCUUUUUCUUUUACAAAAACCUCUACAGCAUACUGUGUACAUCUGACAAUCUUGCUAUUCUGAGAUUCAGAAUAGAUUUAUCUUUCUUCAGAAUAGAUUUAUCUUUCUGAAUCGUUCCCUAGUUUCACUUCUGCCUCAUUGGAGUCUGUGCACUGAAUAUUUCGGAUUAUUUAUCGUACGUUAAAAAAAACAAUCAGAAACACACUGUUCACACCCCCUUGGUUUCAUACACUGUUCCAUAUUUAAAAAAAAGUAAUCUAUUUUUUGUUAAAGUCUUGUCUCUACUGUGACAUCCCUUAAAUCAUGUUCACCCCCAUUACACAAGAGAAAACCAUGACAGACCAAACUCU